ACGCUCGACACCUACGGGAGGCAGCAGUGGGGAAUAUUGCACAAUGGGGGAAACCCUGAUGCAGCGACGCCGCGUGAGCGAAGAAGUAUUUCGGUAUGUAAAGCUCUAUCAGCAGGGAAGAAACUGACGGUACCUGACUAAGAAGCACCGGCUAAAUACGUGCCGGCAGCCGCGGUAAUCUGAGCGGGCGUGGCGAAGGAC
This 201-nucleotide ribosomal RNA is filed under the name uncultured bacterium. Its description in RNAcentral is "partial 16S ribosomal RNA". It matches the Rfam family "Bacterial small subunit ribosomal RNA", at positions 328 to 538 of the family's 1533-position model. The record is from RNAcentral.